GUCGGCCUCGGAUCGGGCAGGGUUACCCGCUGAACUUAAGCAUAUCAGUAAGCGGAGGAAAAGAAACCAACAGGGAUUGCCUCAGUAGCGGCGAGCGAAGCGGCAACAGCCCAAAUUUGAAAUCUGGCAUCGCCUUUGUGGUGAAGUCCGAGUUGUAGCUUGGAGAGGAUGUCCCGGGCGACGCGCUGGCCGAGUUUCCUGGAACGGAACGCUGUAAAGGGUGAAAGCCCCGUGCGGCUUUAGUGCUUAGCCUAAUUUGGGGCUCCUUCGAAGAGUCGGGUAGCUUGGGAAUGCUGCCCUAAGCGGGAGGUAAAUUUCUUCUAAGGCUAAAUAUUGACCGGAGACCGAUAGCGAACAAGUAGAGUGAUCGAAAGAUGAAAAGUACCCUGAAAAGAGGUUUAAAUAGCACGUGAAACUGCUGGGGGGGAAGCGCCUGCGAGCAGAACACGGGCGGUACGUUACGGCCUAGCAGAAAUCUGCCAGGAUCCCACGCGCCGCCCGGGCCAGCGCCGGCUUGUGCCCGGGAACGUGGGUCCAGGGAAUGUAGCCCUCUCCGGGGGGUGUUAUAGACCUGGGCUGUGGGCCCGGGCAGCAGGCCGAGGACCGCGCCAUGUGGCGAGGACGU
This 625-nucleotide ribosomal RNA is filed under the name Spathulospora adelpha. RNAcentral's name for it is "eukaryotic LSU rRNA". It matches the Rfam family "Eukaryotic large subunit ribosomal RNA", at positions 1 to 616 of the family's 3401-position model. Lineage: Eukaryota; Fungi; Ascomycota; Sordariomycetes; Lulworthiales; Spathulosporaceae. The record is from RNAcentral.